GACGAACGCUGGCGGCGUGCUUAACACAUGCAAGUCGAGCGGAAAGGCCCUUCGGGGUACUCGAGCGGCGAACGGGUGAGUAACACGUGAGUAACCUGCCCCAGACUUUGGGAUAACCCUCGGAAACGGGGGCUAAUACCGGAUACGACACAGCUUCGCAUGGGGUCUGUGUGGAAAGUUUUCGGUUUGGGAUGGGCUCGCGGCCUAUCAGCUUGUUGGUGGGGUGAUGGCCUACCAAGGCGACGACGGGUAGCCGGCCUGAGAGGGCGACCGGCCACACUGGGACUGAGACACGGCCCAGACUCCUACGGGAGGCAGCAGUGGGGAAUAUUGCACAAUGGGCGGAAGCCUGAUGCAGCGACGCCGCGUGAGGGAUGACGGCCUUCGGGUUGUAAACCUCUUUCAGCAGGGACGAAGCGUAAGUGACGGUACCUGCAGAAGAAGCGCCGGCCAACUACGUG
This 461-nucleotide ribosomal RNA is filed under the name uncultured bacterium. RNAcentral describes it as "partial 16S ribosomal RNA". It matches the Rfam family "Bacterial small subunit ribosomal RNA", at positions 28 to 507 of the family's 1533-position model. The record is from RNAcentral.